This 1426-nucleotide ribosomal RNA is filed under the name Salmonella enterica subsp. enterica serovar Tennessee. RNAcentral describes it as "bacterial LSU rRNA". It matches the Rfam family "Bacterial large subunit ribosomal RNA", at positions 1252 to 2661 of the family's 2925-position model. Lineage: Bacteria; Pseudomonadati; Pseudomonadota; Gammaproteobacteria; Enterobacterales; Enterobacteriaceae. The record is from RNAcentral.
GAAGGUGGCCUGUGAGGGUUGCUGGAGGUAUCAGAAGUGCGAAUGCUGACAUAAGUAACGAUAAAGCGGGUGAAAAGCCCGCUCGCCGGAAGACCAAGGGUUCCUGUCCAACGUUAAUCGGGGCAGGGUGAGUCGACCCCUAAGGCGAGGCCGAAAGGCGUAGUCGAUGGGAAACGGGUUAAUAUUCCCGUACUUGGUGUUACUGCGAAGGGGGGACGGAGAAGGCUAUGUUGGCCGGGCGACGGUUGUCCCGGUUUAAGCGUGUAGGUGUGUGUUCCAGGUAAAUCCGGUUCACUUUAACACUGAGGCGUGACGACGAGGCACUACGGUGCUGAAGCAACAAAUGCCCUGCUUCCAGGAAAAGCCUCUAAGCAUCAGGUAACAUCAAAUCGUACCCCAAACCGACACAGGUGGUCAGGUAGAGAAUACCAAGGCGCUUGAGAGAACUCGGGUGAAGGAACUAGGCAAAAUGGUGCCGUAACUUCGGGAGAAGGCACGCUGACAUGUAGGUGAAGUGAUUUACUCAUGGAGCUGAAGUCAGUCGAAGAUACCAGCUGGCUGCAACUGUUUAUUAAAAACACAGCACUGUGCAAACACGAAAGUGGACGUAUACGGUGUGACGCCUGCCCGGUGCCGGAAGGUUAAUUGAUGGGGUCAGCGCAAGCGAAGCUCCUGAUCGAAGCCCCGGUAAACGGCGGCCGUAACUAUAACGGUCCUAAGGUAGCGAAAUUCCUUGUCGGGUAAGUUCCGACCUGCACGAAUGGCGUAAUGAUGGCCAGGCUGUCUCCACCCGAGACUCAGUGAAAUUGAACUCGCUGUGAAGAUGCAGUGUACCCGCGGCAAGACGGAAAGACCCCGUGAACCUUUACUAUAGCUUGACACUGAACAUUGAGCCUUGAUGUGUAGGAUAGGUGGGAGGCUUUGAAGUGUGGACGCCAGUCUGCAUGGAGCCGACCUUGAAAUACCACCCUUUAAUGUUUGAUGUUCUAACGUGGACCCGUUAUCCGGGUUGCGGACAGUGUCUGGUGGGUAGUUUGACUGGGGCGGUCUCCUCCUAAAGAGUAACGGAGGAGCACGAAGGUUGGCUAAUCCUGGUCGGACAUCAGGAGGUUAGUGCAAUGGCAUAAGCCAGCUUGACUGCGAGCGUGACGGCGCGAGCAGGUGCGAAAGCAGGUCAUAGUGAUCCGGUGGUUCUGAAUGGAAGGGCCAUCGCUCAACGGAUAAAAGGUACUCCGGGGAUAACAGGCUGAUACCGCCCAAGAGUUCAUAUCGACGGCGGUGUUUGGCACCUCGAUGUCGGCUCAUCACAUCCUGGGGCUGAAGUAGGUCCCAAGGGUAUGGCUGUUCGCCAUUUAAAGUGGUACGCGAGCUGGGUUUAGAACGUCGUGAGACAGUUCGGUCCCUAUCUGCCGUGGGCGCUGGAGAA